Molecule: long non-coding RNA, 2837 nt
Organism: Vespa mandarinia (Asian giant hornet)
Lineage: Eukaryota; Metazoa; Arthropoda; Insecta; Hymenoptera; Vespidae
Source: RefSeq, a predicted model, not a curated record
UUUAAAUUCUCCGGGCUAAAACACGUUACAAACAACAGCUGGAAUACAUUGCAUUUAUCGUUCUUUCGGUUUAUUAUAAAAUGGCGUCUUACACCCGACCAGUAAAAAAAAGGAUGGGUAAACGAUCGAGCGCCAUCUUAUAAUUCGUUGGAGGGCGUAACAUAAACGUUCAUUUGAUAUUUCAAUAGUAAAAAGGCAACUGCUACGUCCUAUUUGACUACCGACAAAAAGAGAUAAGCUAUCGAUGUGUUAGAUCGAUGACCUUGUCCUAUCAUUUGAUUAUUUUCAAACUAACAUUCAUAUGUGAUUGUUUUCAAAGUGAAACGCCUUUUCUGAGUUAUGGAGUAAAACGUAUGCAAUGAUCGAAGUUCUUGUCUAUUAGUAUCUCAAUGACUUCGUAAACAGCGGUCAACCGACACAAAAUUAUCACGUAUUAAUGAUUAUAUAAUUGAUAACUAAUAAACGAUAAGAAAGAGAAUAAUAGCACAUCGGAAAUACAAUGGUCGAUAUAGUCACAAAUAGUGAUAAAAUCACGACAACGACGAUGCAAUAAUCAAAAACAAUGAUAAAUGAUAAAGAAAUGUAUUUACAUCUUCCAAAAUUUUUAAAGAAAUAACGUACGUCCUUCAAAAUGAAAUAUAUUUGCAGAGAAUAAAUAAAAUAAGAUAAACCAAAUUUUUUAACAUCUCUAUCUGUAAAGCUUUAUCUUACUAAAAGGACACUAAGUUUUUGUUUUUUCAGACGAAGAAGGACCGAAAUUUACGAAAGAAUGAAGGAAAGAAAGAAAGAAGUACGUGAAUUUUCAUUUUCCCUUGGACAUGGGGAUAUAUCCAUGAUAGAGGUACCGUUAGUACGACCCUCGAAAGCUUCGAAAAGGGAAAGGAUUUUCGUUCGAAGUAGUACGAAAUAAAGCUUGUCGUGAAACUGGACGUGUACGUGCAUGCGUAUGUGCGCGCGUGCAUGCGUGCGUAAGCUGUUGGGAAGAGAGAGAAGGAGAGGGAGGAGAGAGGGAAGGGUAGAAGGGAGGAAACAGAGGGACAGAGGAGACGCGUCGUAGACAUAAGCGAGAACGGAAGAUGAGGAAGGAGGGUGAAACGCGAGGAAAACGAGGGUUGCCGGAAAGUGGGGUGAAGAGUAGGGAGUAGGGAGAGGACUCUGCACCGCGACGCUACGGGGUGGUUGCCCUCGUCUGCGCUUUGUGGGAAAUGCCCGUUCAAUAACGCGUAGGUCCUCGUCUGCCCCUUCUCACCCUCGGAAUCAUCGCGGCAAGGGCCACUGCCCCAAAAGGCACGACUACACCCGUCGAUUUACCCUUAUCCUAUCUCCUUCCUUUCUCUCCCUUCUAUCUUCUCCACCCUCCACUCUCUUUCCUUCUUCGACAGCUUCGACUACUAUCUAUCUAUCUACCUAUCUACCCCCAGUUUUCGUUUCUCUGCUUCUACUGAACGAAUCGCCCCCAACGCGUUCGAAAAGGUCGUACCUUGCCCUUACUCUUUCUCUCUCUCACGUUUUCUCUUUCUUUUUAUCUCAUUCUUCUCUCGCAAUGUAUUUUACACUGACCGUAGCAGGACGAAGCAACCUGCAUCGACCCGUUCCCAUCUUGUACAUUGGAAUUAUUGUAAAUGCAUCUUAUUCGAUCGCCAUGAGAGAUGAGUCGAUAAAUACAAAUAUCGUGAAAUGCAUCGAUAAGCACAAGUUCGAUUCACUUGCAUUUCCCAAGAAACUUUGUUGUAAAAAUACGACGAUGCUUUCUUGGCAUCAUUGGACGAAACUUUAUCCAUGUUUAUUCGCUGUGGAUAGUAUGGUAUGCGUGCAGAUAGAUACAUAGAUACCAGUCGCCUGCAUCUAUUUAUAUCGACGGCGAACCACGGUGCAACUGACCGUGUGGCCUUGACUUCCUGUUGACCCGACUGCCCCUAGGGAAUUUUGGCGUACUCAUUGGAUUUCUGGGGACGACGUUGGAGGAGAAUCGAUGUACCACGGCCUUUCUUGUCGAGAACAGGAUUACUUCGUAUUCGCGGAGUUCGAUCCAAUUCCAUUCUCCUGCUAUCGGCAGUUAUCGACUGAAGUGCCUGCUCGUAGGCAAUUUGUCCAACGAUCAAUCUGCGUACCAUUGCGUUAUCUUUAGAUUGAUAUAUAAACGUACUACUUGCAUACAUAUAGCAUAGAGUCGAUGAAUAUAUAGGAAAUCAUCGUUUAGGAAGAUUCAAUUGUAAAAUUGUCUUCACCACUGUUAAGGAAGAUAAAUUUUUAACAUAGUUCAUAUUUCUAAAAUAUUUCCUUCGUUGCACUGACUACUCUACAGAAAUAAAAGUUAUAUAGUUAGACAGAACAAUUAAAUAGUAUACAGUUAAAAGGACUUACCGGUAAUCUCCGAUGGUUAGGUUAUUCUUAAUUUGAAUUUGAAGGGAAUGAAUUAUAGUUACAAGAAAAAGAGGUAGAGAAGAUAAAGAGACAGGCCAACUAUGGUGACUCGUAGAAGAUUAUAAAGGAUGUCAAGGAAUGGAAAUCUGCAACUCUUGACCUUGUCCAUGGAUUCGUAGUGAAUGAGAGAGAAACGAAGAGUGAGAAACACGAGGAAAGACAUCAUUUAAAAGCAAAAACUUUUUGCUUUCUUACCUGGUUUGAGCUUCUAUCGUGGUUUAUGAUAUACGAUUCUCAGCCUUUGUCCGAUAUUAAAAGUACAUCUGAUACUAAAAGAAAGAGAGAGAGAGAGAGAGAGAGAGAGAGAGAGAGAGAGAGAGAGAGAGAGAAAGUAAAGAACAAUGCAAAUAAUCGUUAAGACGAAGAUAUCAGAAGACUAGAUAAGGUACUAAUGGAGAUAUUUAGGAUAAUCU